UAAAUACAUUGUAUUCCAAAAUUCUACUAUGCAGACCAAAGGAAAAUAUUUGUUUGCAGCAAUACAAAUAUUUUAUCAAAUUUUUCCACAUAAAGUAACAUACUUUGUUCAUGUUCAAAUAUUAUAUGAACAUGAUAAUGCAACUAGACAACAAUAUAAAAAACAAAAAUCUGGGCAAACAGGUAUAAGAGCAAACUAACCCUGGUUCUGAAAUUACCAAAAAAAAAAGCAGGUUUAACGCUGAACUGCUAAUUCUACAGGCCCGCAGCUCAAUUUUUGAAAAUUUUUAGUUAGAUUCUGUUGGUCUGUAGGUCUGAUUUUUACAGGCCGGAGAGCAAUUUUACCUGCCUGGGCUGCCACUCGGCGUGAAAACUGCAAAGGAAUUUGCUUUACUAUAAAAGUUAACAUGCAUCUUUUUGAUAAAUUAACUCAAAUAAUUCAUUUG
Molecule: long non-coding RNA, 445 nt
Filed under: Mytilus galloprovincialis (Mediterranean mussel)
Lineage: Eukaryota; Metazoa; Mollusca; Bivalvia; Mytilida; Mytilidae
Source: RNAcentral